Molecule: ribosomal RNA, 384 nt
Filed under: uncultured bacterium
Lineage: Bacteria
Description: bacterial SSU rRNA
Rfam family: Bacterial small subunit ribosomal RNA
Source: RNAcentral
GACGAACGCUGGCGGCGUGCUUAACACAUGCAAGUCGAGCGGUAAGGCCCUUUCGGGGGUACACGAGCGGCGAACGGGUGAGUAACACGUGGGUGACCUGCCCUCAGCUCUGGGAUAAGCCUGGGAAACUGGGUCUAAUACUGGAUAUGACUCCACGGUGCAUGUCGUGGGGUGGAAAGCCUUGUGCGGCUGAGGAUGGGCCCGCGGCCUAUCAGCUUGUUGGUGGGGUGANGGCCUACCAAGGCGACGACGGGUAGCCGGCCUGAGAGGGCGACCGGCCACACUGGGACUGAGACACGGCCCAGACUCCUACGGGAGGCAGCAGUGGGGGAAUCUUGCGCAAUGGGCGAAAGCCUGACGCAGCGACGCCGCGUGAGGGAUGAC